Molecule: microRNA precursor, 81 nt
Filed under: Anopheles christyi
Lineage: Eukaryota; Metazoa; Arthropoda; Insecta; Diptera; Culicidae
Description: microRNA mir-927
Source: RNAcentral
ACUCACUCUUUUCGGAUUCCAAUCACUCAUACCUCAUCAUCACUAAAAAGAGUGAGUGAUUUGAAUCCUGAAAGAGUGAGU